UUAAGUUCAGCGGGUAUCCCUACCUGAUCCGAGGUCAACCUUAGAAAUGGGGUUGUUUUACGGCGUAGCCUCCCGAACACCCUUUAGCGAAUAGUUUCCACAACGCUUAGGGGACAGAAGACCCAGCCGGUCGAUUUGAGGCACGCGGCGGACCGCGUUGCCCAAUACCAAGCGAGGCUUGAGUGGUGAAAUGACGCUCG
This 200-nucleotide unclassified non-coding RNA is filed under the name Capnodiales sp. RNAcentral's name for it is "partial internal transcribed spacer 2". RNAcentral also lists the same sequence under 1 other name. Lineage: Eukaryota; Fungi; Ascomycota; Dothideomycetes; Capnodiales. The record is from RNAcentral.